UAACACGUGGGGAACCUGCCCCAUAGUCUGGGAUACCACUUGGAAACAGGUGCUAAUACCGGAUAAGAAAGCGGAUCGCAUGAUCAGCUUUUAAAAGGCGGCGUAAGCUGUUGCUAUGGGAUGGCCCCGCGGUGCAUUAGCUAGUUGGUAAGGUAAAGGCUUACCAAGGCGAUGAUGCAUAGCCUAGUUGAGAGACUGAUCGGCCACAUUGGGACUUAGACACGGCCCAAACUCCUACGGGAGGCAGCAGAC
This 252-nucleotide ribosomal RNA is filed under the name uncultured Lactobacillus sp. Its description in RNAcentral is "partial 16S ribosomal RNA". It matches the Rfam family "Bacterial small subunit ribosomal RNA", at positions 111 to 354 of the family's 1533-position model. Lineage: Bacteria; Bacillati; Bacillota; Bacilli; Lactobacillales; Lactobacillaceae. The record is from RNAcentral.